CCGCCGGCGACCGGCGCACGGGUGAGUAACACGUAUGCAACCUGGCCGUGACAGAUGGAUAACCGGGAGAAAUCCCGCCUAAUACAACAUAAUGCCGGGAGGGGACAUCCCCCGCCGGCCAAAGGGGGCGACCCCGGUCACGGAUGGGCAUGCGGCGCAUUAGGUAGUUGGUGGGGCAACGGCCCACCAAGCCGACGAUGCGUAGGGGUUCUGAGAGGAAGGUCCCCCACAUUGGAACUGAGACACGGUCCAAACUCCUACGGGAGGCAGCAG
RNAcentral lists this ribosomal RNA (273 nucleotides) under uncultured bacterium. RNAcentral describes it as "partial 16S ribosomal RNA". It matches the Rfam family "Bacterial small subunit ribosomal RNA", at positions 85 to 354 of the family's 1533-position model. The record is from RNAcentral.